UACAGAGGUCUCAAGCGUUGUUCGGAUUCAUUGGGCGUAAAGGGUGCGUAGGUGGCGAGGUAAGUCUGGUGUGAAAUCCCGGGGCUCAACCCCGGAACUGCACUGGAUACUGCUUUGCUAGAGUACUGGAGAGGAGAUUGGAAUUUACGGUGUAGCAGUGAAAUGCGUAGAUAUCGUAAGGAAGACCAGUGGCGAAGGCGAAUCUCUGGACAGUUACUGACACUGAGGCACGAAGGCCAGGGGAGCAAACGGG
Molecule: ribosomal RNA, 253 nt
Filed under: uncultured bacterium
Lineage: Bacteria
Description: partial 16S ribosomal RNA
Rfam family: Bacterial small subunit ribosomal RNA
Source: RNAcentral